UAAUACGAGGGGGGCAAGCGUUGUCCGGAUUUAUUGGGCGUAAAGAGUUCGUAGGCUGGUUGGUCAGUCGAAAUUGUAAUCCCACGGCUUAACCGUGGACCCGGUUUCGAUACUGCCAAUCUUGAGUGAGGUAGAGGUAAGCGGAAUUCCUGGUGUAGCGGUGAAAUGCGUAGAUAUCAGGAGGAACACCAAAGGCGAAGGCAGCUUACUGGACCUACACUGACGCUGAGGAACGAAAGCGUGGGGAGCAAACAGGAUUAGAGACCCUGGUAGUCCACGCCGUAAACGAUGAGUACUUGGUGGUGGGGGAUUCGACCCCUUCACUGUCGGAGCUAACGCGUUAAGUACUCCGCCUGGGAACUACGACCGCAAGGUUG
This 377-nucleotide ribosomal RNA is filed under the name uncultured Deferribacteres bacterium. RNAcentral's name for it is "bacterial SSU rRNA". It matches the Rfam family "Bacterial small subunit ribosomal RNA", at positions 521 to 896 of the family's 1533-position model. The record is from RNAcentral. Lineage: Bacteria; Pseudomonadati; Deferribacterota; Deferribacteres.